This 915-nucleotide ribosomal RNA is filed under the name uncultured archaeon. RNAcentral describes it as "bacterial SSU rRNA". It matches the Rfam family "Archaeal small subunit ribosomal RNA", at positions 1 to 923 of the family's 1478-position model. The record is from RNAcentral.
UUCCGGUUGAUCCUGCCGGACCUGACUGCUAUCGGAUUGAUACUAAGCCAUGCGAGUCAUUGUAGCAAUACAAGGCAGACGGCUCAGUAACGCGUAGUCAACCUAACCUAUGGACGGGAAUAACCUCGGGAAACUGAGAAUAAUGCCCGAUAGAACACUAUAUCUGGAAUGGUUUGUGUUCCAGAUGAUUUAUCGCCGUAGGAUGGGACUGCGGCCUAUCAGUUUGUUGGUGAGGUAAUGGCCCACCAAGACUAUUACAGGUACGGGCUCUGAGAGGAGUAGCCCGGAGAUGGGUACUGAGACACGGACCCAGGCCCUAUGGGGCGCAGCAGGCGAGAAAACUUUGCAAUGUGCGAAAGCACGACAAGGUUAAUCCGAGUGGUUUGUGCUAAACGAACCUUUUGUCGGUCCUAGAAACACCGAUGAAUAAGGGGUGGGCAAGUUCUGGUGUCAGCCGCCGCGGUAAAACCAGCACCUCAAGUGGUCAGGAUGAUUAUUGGGCCUAAAGCAUCCGUAGCCGGCGCUGUAAGUUUUCGGCUAAAUCUGUACGCUCAACGUACAGGCUGCCGGGAAUACUGCAGCGCUAGGGAGUGGGAGAGGUAGACGGUACUCGGUAGGAAGGGGUAAAAUCCUUUGAUCUAUUGAUGACCACCUGUGGCGAAGGCGGUCUACCAGAACACGUCCGACGGUGAGGGAUGAAAGCUGGGGGAGCAAACCGGAUUAGAUACCCGGGUAGUCCCAGCUGUAAACUAUGCAAACUCAGUGAUGCAUUGGCUUGUGGCCAAUGCAGUGCUGCAGGGAAGCCGUUAAGUUUGCCGCCUGGGAAGUACGUACGCAAGUAUGAAACUUAAAGGAAUUGGCGGGGGAGCACCACAAGGGGUGAAGCCUGCGGUUCAAUUGGAUUCAACGCCGGGA